GACCGGCGCACGGGUGAGUAACACGUAUCCAACCUGCCGUCUACUCUUGGACAGCCUUCUGAAAGGAAGAUUAAUACAAGAUGGCAUCAUGAGUCCGCAUGUUCACAUGAUUAAAGGUAUUCCGGUAGACGAUGGGGAUGCGUUCCAUUAGAUAGUAGGCGGGGUAACGGCCCACCUAGUCUUCGAUGGAUAGGGGUUCUGAGAGGAAGGUCCCCCACGUUGGAACUGAGACACGGUCCAAACUCCUACGGGAGGCAGCAUG
Molecule: ribosomal RNA, 262 nt
Filed under: uncultured bacterium
Lineage: Bacteria
Description: partial 16S ribosomal RNA
Rfam family: Bacterial small subunit ribosomal RNA
Source: RNAcentral